This 2603-nucleotide long non-coding RNA is filed under the name Canis lupus familiaris (dog). Its description in RNAcentral is "lncRNA (ENSCAFG00030003310.1)". Lineage: Eukaryota; Metazoa; Chordata; Mammalia; Carnivora; Canidae. The record is from RNAcentral.
AUGUUAUCCUAUUCUUUUACCCAUAAACUAAUUCUUGGGGAUUCCAUAUUUUUGCAGCUGUUUGUGCUUCUUUAUUUGUUAAAUACUCACUGCUUGAAUUUUCUUCAUAUAUAUCCUCCUGUCAGAUUCUCUUUCUUAGGAUUUGAACAACAACAAAAAAGGAAAAAAAGCAAGAGGAAAAAAAUGUCUAAAUAUCUGUUUUUGCUUCCUACAUCUCACCCACACAAAACAUUAACUUCAUACCAAGCUCCCACUGGAUCGGUGUCCAGGGACUUCAGGCAGCCCUACAGCAGGUCAGGAAGGAACCAAGGAAAGCUAGCCAUUUCUACACUAGCUCUGGCUGCAUGUCAGCCCUCUAGCCUUAGCCCCAUGCUUCAUGCUUUCAGGGUUUUUUGUGGGCUGGUGUUUUGGUUUUUGUUGUUUUUUUGGGUUUUUUGGUUGGUUAGUUUUUGAGUUUUUUUAGUUUUUGAUAGAAUUAUUUGUCACAGUUGUAUUCCAAAGGUGCCAAGAACGGGAUUUUUUUUUUCUGAUUUGCAUUCUUCUCCUAUUUUUGGUAUUAUGUAUUUUUUAAGUGCAAAAGCCAUUACCUUAACUGGCUACAUGAAUUGGUAAAUUCAUGUUUUGACCCUCCUUAUCACACCUGCUAGAGAUAACCUAAGCCACAGCACAGCUCCUACCGGUUUGGCUGCAGGCAGGGUUAUGACCUUCAGGGUGGUGAAGGAAUGCAGCUUUUAUUGUAUGAUCACCUUGUUAUGAAAUAGAACCUUUAAGAAGCAAGGUGGGUGGGGCACCUGAGUGGCUCAGAGGUUAAGCAUCUGCCUUUGGCUCAGGUCGUGAUCCUAGGGUCCUGGGAUCAAGUCCUGCACUGGGCUCCCUGUAGGGAGCCUGCUUCUCCCUCUGCCUGUGUCUCUGCCUCUCUCUGUGUCUCUCAUGAGUAAAUGAAUAAAAAAUCCUAAAAAAAAAAAAAAAUCUUGUCAGCUAACAAGGAGCUUACAUUCCAUGCACCAUUCUGAUCACCUAAGAGAAAAGAGGGCAAUUUUACUACCUAAAAAUCACUUGCCAAAGUCUCAGUGACAAUCAGAAGAAAAAAAAAAAAAUACAGAAAAACCCUCUGUGCUUAGUCUUAUCAGAAGGUAAGAGAGAUUUCAAAGCUGCAUUAAUGAAAACAAUUUGAUUCUGGCACAUAAACAAGCAGACAGAUCAAUGAGCCAAAAUGAAGAGUCCCAAAAGAUACUGGAAAACAGAAUAAUUUAAUGUGUAAAAAAGGGCAAUCAUUAAGGGAUAAUGGAUUAUUCUACAAAUAUUAUUGGAAAAGCCGGCCAACCAUUAAGGGAAGAAUUAAACUGAAUCUUCUUUAUGUCCUUAUACUAAAUGCCCUCAUACUUACGUGUUUAAAAAAGAGAAAAGUCAUGAAAGUACCAGAAAAGAACAUGAGAUCAUUUUUAAUGAAAUCUUGGAAGAGGAGAAAGUCUUCCUAAUUAAGACAAAACUAAGAAGCCACAAAUAAAAAUACCGAUGAGGUUGACUAUAUAAAUAUUUAACGUUUCGUCCAUACCAAAAAUGAUGUCAGAAUACAAAUGAAAAGAUGGGGAAAAUAUUUGGAAUACAAGUUAUGGAUAAAGGACAAAUAUAUAAAGGGCUUACCAUGAAAACAGGACUCAGGAACCACAAGCCAAAGGCCAACAACUCAAGUUUUUUAAUGAGCAAAACAUAUAAACAAGAAGUUGACACACACGAAAGGGAAGCUAAAUGGCGAAUAAACAAAUGCAAAGAAAACAAAAAAAGCAAAUUCAGAUCUAUAAAAUUUGUUUAAAAAAUUUGUGUUGUUACCAAUUAGGUUGACAAAGAUCAAAACUUUGAUAAUAUGCAGUGUUGCAGAAGAUGUGCAGAAGCCAACAUUGGCCUAGGCUAUGGAAAGAAGUGUAGACAGGUGUGACCUUUUCCAAAUAUCUGUCCAAGUAAGAAUGCACAGACACGGCAGCUGCACUUCCAGGAACUCAUCGUGCAGAUGUCCUCACGCAUGUGAGCAGAGACAGGGCAUCUACAGCUUUGUCGGCCCUAGCUAGAACCUGGAGCCCCCCUACACACUCACCGAGAGGUUAAAUUGGUUAAAUGCUGCUUACAUGCAUUGUGAGCAUUCACACAGAAGUAUACUCAGCAGCUGGGUAAACAGAUGCAGUGGUUAUGUGUUCUAAGAGAAAUAACCUCCAAGGUCGCUAACUGGAAAAAACAAGGAGCGGAACAACACGUAUGCUGUAUGACGUGUCCACGUGUGCAUUUGGGUACACACUUGUUUGUUUGUUCAACAAAGCUUUACUGAGCAGCUGCCACAUGUGAGCAGCUUUUCUUUUUUUUUUUUUUUUUUUUUUUAUGAUAGUCACAGAGAGAGAGAGAGAGAGAGAGAGGGGCAGAGACACAGGCAGAGGGAGAAGCAGGCUCCAUGCACCGGGAGCCCGACGUGGGACUCGAUCCCGGGUCUCCAGGAUCCACCCUGGGCCAAAGGCAGGCGCCAAACCGCUGCGCCACCCAGGGAUCCCCGUGAGCAGCUUUUCUAAGCAGUGAACAAAAUAGACGAAAUUUUCUCAUAUCAGCCUUUAUGGAGC